GGGGCCGUGGGGUAGCCUGGUCUAUCCUCCGCGGCUGGGGGCCGCGGGACCCCGGUUCAAAUCCGGGCGGCCCCA
Molecule: transfer RNA, 75 nt
Filed under: Methanopyrus kandleri
Lineage: Archaea; Methanobacteriati; Methanobacteriota; Methanopyri; Methanopyrales; Methanopyraceae
Also listed under: 1 other name
Description: tRNA-Pro
Source: RNAcentral